This 431-nucleotide ribosomal RNA is filed under the name uncultured bacterium. RNAcentral's name for it is "partial 16S ribosomal RNA". It matches the Rfam family "Bacterial small subunit ribosomal RNA", at positions 29 to 507 of the family's 1533-position model. The record is from RNAcentral.
AACGAACGCUGGCGGCAGGCCUAACACAUGCAAGUCGAGCGCGCCUUCGGGUGAGCGGCGGACGGGUGAGUAACGCGUGGGAAUAUGCCCUUCUCUACGUAAUAGUCCUGGGAAACUGGGGGUAAUACCGUAUACGCCCUAUGGGGGAAAGAUUUAUCGGGGCAGGAUUAGCCCGCGUUGGAUUAGGUAGUUGGUGGGGUAAUGGCCUACCAAGCCGACAGUCCAUAGCUGGUUUGAGAAGAUGAGCAGCAACACUGGGGCUAAGACACGGCCAAGACUACUACGGGAGGCAGCAGUGGGGAAUCUUAGACAAUGGGGGCAAUGAUGAACUAGCCAUGCCGGGUGAGUGAUGAAGGUCGGAGGGUAGUAAAGCUCUUUAAGCUGGGAAGAUAAUGACGGUACCAGCAGAAGAAGCCCCGGCUAACUACGUG